UGGGAACCUUCCCUAUGGUUCGGAAUAGCUCAGGGAAACUUGGGGUAAUACCGGAUAAGCCCUUCGGGGGAAAGAUUUAUCGCCAUUGGAUGGGCCCGCGUCGGAUUAGCUAGUUGGUGAGGUAACGGCCUACCAAGGCGACGAUCCGUAGCUGGUCUGAGAGGAUGAUCAGCCACACUGGGACUGAGACACGGCCCAGACACCUACGGGAGGCAG
This 216-nucleotide ribosomal RNA is filed under the name uncultured bacterium. RNAcentral's name for it is "partial 16S ribosomal RNA". It matches the Rfam family "Bacterial small subunit ribosomal RNA", at positions 118 to 351 of the family's 1533-position model. The record is from RNAcentral.